AAAGACCUUAAGCUUUUGGAGCGGCCGAUGUCUGAUUAGCUAGUUGGGGAGGUAAAGGCUCACCAAGGCGACGAUCAGUAGUUGGUCUGAGAGGACGACCAGCCACACUGGGACUGAGACACGGCCCAGACUCCUACGGGGGGCGGCAGUGGGGACUUUUGGACAAUGGGCGCAAGCCUGAUCCAGCAAUGCCGUGUGGGUGAAGAAGGCCUUCGGGUUGUAAAGCUCUUUCAGUCGAGAAGAAAAGGUUGUGAUUAAUACUCACAAUCCAUGACGGUAUCGACAGAAGAAGCACCGGCUAACUACGUGCCAGCAGCCGCGGUAAUACGUAGGGUGAGCGUUAAUCGGAAUUACUGGGCGUAAAAGGUGCGCAGGCGGCUCUGUAAGUCAGACGUGAAAUCCCCGGGCUUAACCUGGGAAUU
RNAcentral lists this ribosomal RNA (422 nucleotides) under uncultured Nitrosomonas sp. RNAcentral describes it as "bacterial SSU rRNA". It matches the Rfam family "Bacterial small subunit ribosomal RNA", at positions 202 to 622 of the family's 1533-position model. The record is from RNAcentral. Lineage: Bacteria; Pseudomonadati; Pseudomonadota; Betaproteobacteria; Nitrosomonadales; Nitrosomonadaceae.